AAGGAGAGUAUAAACACACAAACACCAGCAGGAUGGCAGCGACAGGCUAUGAUGGGUAAAGUUCAGCAACCUAAAUAAGACAGAAGGUGUACAUAGUUCAGGGUUAUGGGAGGUGGCGUGUCUGGGGGCAGACAGGGUUCAGGGUUAUGGGAGGUGGCGUGUCUGGGGGCAGACAGGGUUCAGGGUUAUGGGAGGUGGCGUGUCUGGGGGCAGACUGGGUUCAAGGUGAUGGGAGGUGGCGUGUCUGGGGGCAGACAGGGUUCAGGGUUAUGGGAGGUGGCGUGUCUGGGGGCAGACAGGGUUCAGGGUUAUGGGAGGUGGCGUGUCUGGGGG
Molecule: long non-coding RNA, 333 nt
Organism: Brienomyrus brachyistius
Lineage: Eukaryota; Metazoa; Chordata; Actinopteri; Osteoglossiformes; Mormyridae
Exons: 3
Source: RefSeq, a predicted model, not a curated record